This 350-nucleotide unclassified non-coding RNA is filed under the name soil metagenome. Its description in RNAcentral is "partial contains 5.8S ribosomal RNA, internal transcribed spacer 2, and large subunit ribosomal RNA". The stretch from base 1 to 120 matches the Rfam family "5.8S ribosomal RNA", at positions 35 to 154 of the family's 154-position model. The record is from RNAcentral.
GAUGAAGAACGCAGCGAACUGCGAUAAGUAAUGUGAAUUGCAGAAUUCAGUGAAUCAUCGAGUCUUUGAACGCACAUUGCGCCCCCUGGCAUUCCGGGGGGCAUGCCUGUCCGAGCGCCAUUGCUGCCCUUCAAGCCCGGCUUGUGUGUUGGGUCGUCGUCCCCCCCGGGGGACGGGCCCGAAAGGCAGCGGCGGCACCGCGUCCGGUCCUCGAGCGUAUGGGGCUUUGUCACCCGCUCGAUUAGGGCCGGCCGGGCGCCAGCCGGCGUCUCCAACCUUCUAUUUUACCAGGUUGACCUCGGAUCAGGUAGGGAUACCCGCUGAACUUAAGCAUAUCAAUAAGCGGAGGA